GUUCAGCUGAAAUGCACAGAUAUGGUCUAACGUUUUGUGGACACUCUCCUUAACAGAGCAUAAGCUCUAAGAGGAAAGAUGGACUGUUGAGAGAAUGAUCGUGCAAGGAUAUAGAUUUAUAGCUGCUAUUGCCCAGCUGUUAGCUGGUCAGUGUUAAAAUGUGUCUAUGAUGGAGAUGUAAACUGAACCUGAUUCAUGCGGUAGUAGAUUGUCUAUCCCUUUCUGAGCAUACUUGAUUGCUGUUGUUACUAUGGAGAUUCAGCAGAGUUUAGCUUUCCUUAAGCAAACAGGAGAAUCUGCCAGUUCUUCAGCAAAGGCCUGAUAAGAAUGAUGAAUGCUGGGGAGAUGACAUUAUAUACAAGAGAAAAGGUUAUGCAGAUUACUGUGAAGAUCACCAAAUUGGUCACUGGCAGCAUGAGUGUGAUUGUAAAAUCAAGAAUGGGACAACUAGCCCUAAGUGGAAUGGGAGCAGUUCUGGAUGAUAUGAAAAGCUGGUGGACUGCUGUCUUCCAGUGUGCCCUGCCCACAGGGCAARAGGGAGCACUAGUUAUGCAGCAGAGAUGCCCUGA
RNAcentral lists this long non-coding RNA (569 nucleotides) under Dromaius novaehollandiae (emu). RNAcentral describes it as "lncRNA (ENSDNVG00000005553.1)". Lineage: Eukaryota; Metazoa; Chordata; Aves; Casuariiformes; Dromaiidae. The record is from RNAcentral.